AAGGUAGCUCCCAUGGCUGACGUCAGCUCGUGUUCAUGAGAAUGGUGGGUNAAGUCCCACAACGAGCGCAACCCUUUUCUUUACUUGCCAGCAUUUCGGAUGGGAACUUUAAGGAUACUGCCAGUGACAAACUGGAGGAAGGCGGGGACGACGUCAAGUCAUCAUGGCCCUUACGGCCAGGGCUACACACGUGCUACAAUGGUCGGUACAAAGGGUUGCUACACAGCGAUGUGAUGCUAAUCUCAAAAAGCCGAUCGUAGUCCGGAUUGGAGUCUGCAACUCGACUCCAUGAAGUCGGAAUCGCUAGUAAUCGCGGAUCAGAAUGCCGCGGUGAAUACGUUCCCGGGCCUUGUACACACCGCCCGUCACANCCAUGGGAGUUUGUUGCACCCAGAAGUAGCUAGCCUAACUGCAAAGAGGGCGGUUACCCACCGGGUGCCCNUUGGUUUUUUU
RNAcentral lists this ribosomal RNA (453 nucleotides) under Acinetobacter baumannii. Its description in RNAcentral is "bacterial SSU rRNA". It matches the Rfam family "Bacterial small subunit ribosomal RNA", at positions 1035 to 1478 of the family's 1533-position model. The record is from RNAcentral. Lineage: Bacteria; Pseudomonadati; Pseudomonadota; Gammaproteobacteria; Moraxellales; Moraxellaceae.